This 2890-nucleotide ribosomal RNA is filed under the name Pseudomonas simiae. Its description in RNAcentral is "bacterial LSU rRNA". It matches the Rfam family "Bacterial large subunit ribosomal RNA". Lineage: Bacteria; Pseudomonadati; Pseudomonadota; Gammaproteobacteria; Pseudomonadales; Pseudomonadaceae. The record is from RNAcentral.
UCAAGUGAAGAAGCGCAUACGGUGGAUGCCUUGGCAGUCAGAGGCGAUGAAAGACGUGGUAGCCUGCGAAAAGCUUCGGGGAGUCGGCAAACAGACUUUGAUCCGGAGAUGUCUGAAUGGGGGAACCCAGCCAUCAUAAGAUGGUUAUCUUGUACUGAAUACAUAGGUGCAAGAGGCGAACCAGGGGAACUGAAACAUCUAAGUACCCUGAGGAAAAGAAAUCAACCGAGAUUCCCUUAGUAGUGGCGAGCGAACGGGGACUAGCCCUUAAGUGGCUUUGAGAUUAGCGGAACGCUCUGGAAAGUGCGGCCAUAGUGGGUGAUAGCCCUGUACGCGAAAAUCUCUUAGUCAUGAAAUCGAGUAGGACGGAGCACGAGAAACUUUGUCUGAAUAUGGGGGGACCAUCCUCCAAGGCUAAAUACUACUGACUGACCGAUAGUGAACUAGUACCGUGAGGGAAAGGCGAAAAGAACCCCGGAGAGGGGAGUGAAAUAGAUCCUGAAACCGUAUGCGUACAAGCAGUGGGAGCCUACUUUGUUAGGUGACUGCGUACCUUUUGUAUAAUGGGUCAGCGACUUAUUUUCAGUGGCGAGCUUAACCGAAUAGGGGAGGCGUAGCGAAAGCGAGUCUUAAUAGGGCGUCUAGUCGCUGGGAAUAGACCCGAAACCGGGCGAUCUAUCCAUGGGCAGGUUGAAGGUUGGGUAACACUAACUGGAGGACCGAACCGACUACCGUUGAAAAGUUAGCGGAUGACCUGUGGAUCGGAGUGAAAGGCUAAUCAAGCUCGGAGAUAGCUGGUUCUCCUCGAAAGCUAUUUAGGUAGCGCCUCAUGUAUCACUGUAGGGGGUAGAGCACUGUUUCGGCUAGGGGGUCAUCCCGACUUACCAAACCGAUGCAAACUCCGAAUACCUACAAGUGCCGAGCAUGGGAGACACACGGCGGGUGCUAACGUCCGUCGUGAAAAGGGAAACAACCCAGACCGUCAGCUAAGGUCCCAAAGUUAUGGUUAAGUGGGAAACGAUGUGGGAAGGCUUAGACAGCUAGGAGGUUGGCUUAGAAGCAGCCACCCUUUAAAGAAAGCGUAAUAGCUCACUAGUCGAGUCGGCCUGCGCGGAAGAUGUAACGGGGCUCAAACCAUACACCGAAGCUACGGGUAUCACGUAAGUGAUGCGGUAGAGGAGCGUUCUGUAAGCCUGUGAAGGUGAGUUGAGAAGCUUGCUGGAGGUAUCAGAAGUGCGAAUGCUGACAUGAGUAACGACAAUGGGUGUGAAAAACACCCACGCCGAAAGACCAAGGUUUCCUGCGCAACGUUAAUCGACGCAGGGUUAGUCGGUCCCUAAGGCGAGGCUGAAAAGCGUAGUCGAUGGAAAACAGGUUAAUAUUCCUGUACUUCUGGUUAUUGCGAUGGAGGGACGGAGAAGGCUAGGCCAGCUUGGCGUUGGUUGUCCAAGUUUAAGGUGGUAGGCUGAGAUCUUAGGUAAAUCCGGGAUCUUAAGGCCGAGAGCUGAUGACGAGCUAACUUUUAGUUAGCGAAGUGGUUGAUGCCAUGCUUCCAAGAAAAGCUUCUAAGCUUCAGGUAACCAGGAACCGUACCCCAAACCGACACAGGUGGUUGGGUAGAGAAUACCAAGGCGCUUGAGAGAACUCGGGUGAAGGAACUAGGCAAAAUGGCACCGUAACUUCGGGAGAAGGUGCGCCGGUGAGGGUGAAGGACUUGCUCCGUAAGCUCAUGCCGGUCGAAGAUACCAGGCCGCUGCGACUGUUUAUUAAAAACACAGCACUCUGCAAACACGAAAGUGGACGUAUAGGGUGUGACGCCUGCCCGGUGCCGGAAGGUUAAUUGAUGGGGUUAGCUAACGCGAAGCUCUUGAUCGAAGCCCCGGUAAACGGCGGCCGUAACUAUAACGGUCCUAAGGUAGCGAAAUUCCUUGUCGGGUAAGUUCCGACCUGCACGAAUGGCGUAACGAUGGCGGCGCUGUCUCCACCCGAGACUCAGUGAAAUUGAAAUCGCUGUGAAGAUGCAGUGUAUCCGCGGCUAGACGGAAAGACCCCGUGAACCUUUACUAUAGCUUUGCACUGGACUUUGAAUUUGCUUGUGUAGGAUAGGUGGGAGGCUUUGAAGCGUGGACGCCAGUUCGCGUGGAGCCAUCCUUGAAAUACCACCCUGGCAACUUUGAGGUUCUAACUCAGGUCCGUUAUCCGGAUCGAGGACAGUGUAUGGUGGGUAGUUUGACUGGGGCGGUCUCCUCCUAAAGAGUAACGGAGGAGUACGAAGGUGCGCUCAGACCGGUCGGAAAUCGGUCGUAGAGUAUAAAGGCAAAAGCGCGCUUGACUGCGAGACAGACACGUCGAGCAGGUACGAAAGUAGGUCUUAGUGAUCCGGUGGUUCUGUAUGGAAGGGCCAUCGCUCAACGGAUAAAAGGUACUCCGGGGAUAACAGGCUGAUACCGCCCAAGAGUUCAUAUCGACGGCGGUGUUUGGCACCUCGAUGUCGGCUCAUCACAUCCUGGGGCUGAAGCCGGUCCCAAGGGUAUGGCUGUUCGCCAUUUAAAGUGGUACGCGAGCUGGGUUUAGAACGUCGUGAGACAGUUCGGUCCCUAUCUGCCGUGGACGUUUGAGAUUUGAGAGGGGCUGCUCCUAGUACGAGAGGACCGGAGUGGACGAACCUCUGGUGUUCCGGUUGUCACGCCAGUGGCAUUGCCGGGUAGCUAUGUUCGGAAUAGAUAACCGCUGAAAGCAUCUAAGCGGGAAACUAGCCUCAAGAUGAGAUCUCACUGGAACCUUGAGUUCCCUGAAGGGCCGUCGAAGACUACGACGUUGAUAGGUUGGGUGUGUAAGCGCUGUGAGGCGUUGAGCUAACCAAUACUAAUUGCCCGUGAGGCUUGACCAU